Molecule: ribosomal RNA, 783 nt
Filed under: uncultured bacterium
Lineage: Bacteria
Description: bacterial SSU rRNA
Rfam family: Bacterial small subunit ribosomal RNA
Source: RNAcentral
AGAGUUUGAUCAUGGCUCAGAACGAACGCUGGCGGCGCGUUUUAAGCAUGCAAGUCAGAGGGGUUUAAUGUAGCAAUAUGUUAAGCAACUGGCGCACGGGUGAGUAACACGUGAGAAUCUACCUUUAGAUGGGGGAUAGCUCGUGGAAACACGGGGUAAUACCGCAUGUGCCGAGAGGUGAAAGAUACUUUUGUAUCGUCUGAAGAUGAGCUUGCGGUCCAUUAGCUAGUUGGCAGGGUAAGAGCCUACCAAGGCAACGAUGGAUAGCCGGCCUGAGAGGGUGAACGGCCACAUUGGAACUGAGACACGGUCCAGACUUCUACGGGAGGCAGCAGCUAAGAAUAUUCCGCAAUGGGAGAUAUCCUGACGGAGCGACGCCGCGUGAAUGAAGAAGGCAGAAAUGUUGUAAAAUUCUUUUAUAUGGGAAGAAUAAGGUUACUGAGAGAAACGGUAUCCGAUGACGGUACCAUAUGAAUAAGCCACGGCUAACUACGUGCCAGCAGCCGCGGUAAUACGUAGGUGGCAAGCGUUGUUCGGAUUUAUUGGGCGUAAAGGGCAUGUAGGUGGUUAGAUAAGUGUGAAUUGAAAGACCGAAGCUUAACUUCGAGUUUGGUUUGCAAACUAUCUGACUAGAGUGCAGAAGGGGAAACUGGAAUUCCGCGUGUAGGGGAAAUCUGUAGAUAUGCGGAAGAAUACUUGUGGCGAAGGCGAGUUUCUGGUCUGUAACUGACGCUGAAAUGCGAAAGUGUGGGGAGCAAACAGGAUUAGAUACCCUAGUAGUCC